CUUUCGUCUUGUAAUUGGAAUGAUGGCGACUUAAACCCUCGCCAGAGUAACAAUUGGAGGGCAAGUCUGGUGCCAGCAGCCGCGGUAAUUCCAGCUCCAAUAGCGUAUAUUAAACUUGUUGCAGUUAAAAAGCUCGUAGUUGAAUUUCUGCGUUGCGUUUUUCUUGCUUUUUGCUUGACUUUCGCUUCGCUUUUUUGUUUUACUUUGAGAAAAUUAGAGUGUUUAUCGCAGACUUUUGUCUUGAAUACUUCAGCAUGGAAUAAUAGAGUAGGACCUUGGUUCUAUUUUGUUGGUUUUUGAGCCUUGGUAAUGGUUAAUAGGAACG
This 325-nucleotide ribosomal RNA is filed under the name Babesia caballi. Its description in RNAcentral is "SSU rRNA". It matches the Rfam family "Eukaryotic small subunit ribosomal RNA", at positions 495 to 880 of the family's 1831-position model. The record is from RNAcentral. Lineage: Eukaryota; Apicomplexa; Aconoidasida; Piroplasmida; Babesiidae.